Molecule: ribosomal RNA, 497 nt
Filed under: uncultured bacterium
Lineage: Bacteria
Description: partial 16S ribosomal RNA
Rfam family: Bacterial small subunit ribosomal RNA
Source: RNAcentral
GAUGAACGCUGGCGGCGUGCCUAAUACAUGCAAGUCGAGCGAACGGACGAGAAGCUUGCUUCUCUGAUGUUAGCGGCGGACGGGUGAGUAACACGUGGAUAACCUACCUAUAAGUCUGGGAUAACUUCGGGAAACCGGAGCUAAUACCGGAUAAUAUUUUGAACCGCAUGGUUCAAAAGUAAAAGACGGUCUUGCUGUCACUUAUAGAUGGAUCCGCGCUGCAUUAGCUAGUUGGUAAGGUAACGGCUUACCAAGGCAACGAUGCAUAGCCGACCUGAGAGGGUGAUCGGCCACACUGGAACUGAGACACGGUCCAGACUCCUACGGGAGGCAGCAGUAGGGAAUCUUCCGCAAUGGGCGAAAGCCUGACGGAGCAACGCCGCGUGAGUGAUGAAGGUCUUCGGAUCGUAAAACUCUGUUAUUAGGGAAGAACAUAUGUGUAAGUAACUGUGCACAUCUUGACGGUACCUAAUCAGAAAGCCACGGCUAACUACGUG